This 85-nucleotide transfer RNA is filed under the name Felis catus (domestic cat). It matches the Rfam family "tRNA". From Rfam's summary of the family: Transfer RNA (tRNA) molecules are approximately 80 nucleotides in length. Their secondary structure includes four short double-helical elements and three loops (D, anti-codon, and T loops). Lineage: Eukaryota; Metazoa; Chordata; Mammalia; Carnivora; Felidae. The record is from Rfam by way of RNAcentral.
GCCUGAGUGGCUCAGUCAGUUGAGUGUCUGACUUUGGCUCAGGUCAUAAUCUCGCAGUUUGUGAGUUCGAGCCCUGCGUCAGGCU